GUCAAUUAGCUCAGUUGGUUAGAGCUUGGUGCUGGUAAUACCAAGGUUGCAGGUUCGAUCCCUGUAUGGGACA
This is a non-coding RNA of Podarcis lilfordi (Lilford's wall lizard), 73 nucleotides long. Lineage: Eukaryota; Metazoa; Chordata; Lepidosauria; Squamata; Lacertidae. The record is from the annotation of a GenBank genome assembly.